GACGAACGCUGGCGGCGUGCCUAAUACAUGCAAGUCGUGCGGACCUUUUAAAAGCUUGCUUUUAAAAGGUUAGCGGCGGACGGGUGAGUAACACGUGGGCAACCUGCCUGUAAGACUGGGAUAACGCCGGGAAACCGGGGCUAAUACCAGAUCGUUUUUUCCUCCGCAUGGAGGAAAAAGGAAAGGCGGCUUCGGCUGCCACUUACAGAUGGGCCCGCGGCGCAUUAGCUAGUUGGCGGGGUAACGGCCCACCAAGGCAACGAUGCGUAGCCGACCUGAGAGGGUGAUCGGCCACAUUGGGACUGAGACACGGCCCAAACUCCUACGGGAGGCAGCAGUAGGGAAUCUUCCGAAAUGGACGAAAGUCUGACGGAGCAACGCCGCGUGAGUGAAGAAGGCCUUCGGGUCGUAAAACUCUGUUGCCGGGGAAGAACAAGUGCCGUUCGAACAGGGCGGCGCCUUGACGGUACCCGGCCAGAAAGCCACGGCUAACUACGUG
Molecule: ribosomal RNA, 499 nt
Filed under: uncultured bacterium
Lineage: Bacteria
Description: partial 16S ribosomal RNA
Rfam family: Bacterial small subunit ribosomal RNA
Source: RNAcentral